This 1048-nucleotide long non-coding RNA is filed under the name Homo sapiens (human). RNAcentral describes it as "HSALNT0246994". Lineage: Eukaryota; Metazoa; Chordata; Mammalia; Primates; Hominidae. The record is from RNAcentral.
UUUUAGAAAUAUCUGUCUGGUAGCCAUGUGCAGGUUGGUUGGAAAGGGAGGCAUCAGACAGGAGACGAAUGAGAAAGCUGUUGCAGUCAUCUGGGGGCAGAAGCCUAAGCCUUGCUCAUCCCUUACUUAGGCUACAUUUUCAAAAGUCAGAAAAAACUUUUUCCUGAAGAAGGGGUUUCUGAGACAAGACCCCUAUUUGUGACCAAUUGUAAGAUCAUCUGAAGAUCGAGUCCGAUUGCCUGGCCAGGCCGGGCUGGGUGGUAUGUGCCCCCGUCACGCCGGAGGUUCCUGCUUUAGCGACGCCAAAGAUUGGGUGUGAGGGCAGCCCGCGGUGACAGAGACACGGAUCGGACCGAGAGAAAAAGGCUGUGGGCUUCACUGAGCAGAGUGACGGAGUUAUGAGUACAGAAGUGGGCAUCCAGGAACGUAAGUAUUCAGGCCCUCAGGAGCGGUAACUAAAAUGGGCUUGAAGAGGGUUCUAUUGAAGAGGGUUCAUUGUAUUCAAUCCCACUAUGACCCAAGAUGAGAGAGUUCUUCUCAUUACUUUCUUUUUUCUGACACAGAGUUUUGCUCUUGUCGCCCAGGCUGGAGUGCAAUGGAGGGAUCUUGCAAUUCACAGGACCUCCACAGUGUGCCUUUUGCUGGGUAGGAAAAUGCCAGCCAGCUUGGAAAACAACAUGAGCAUUGGCAUCAGCCAAUUAUCCCACACGUUUUCGGCUAGUCAGUGCUGAAGAGAGCAAGGAUUUCAACCCUUCUUGCUACAUUCAAGACAUAGAAAUCCAGCCAGAAGACAACUCGAGAUAUUUUGUGGAUCUAUGCCUUUCCUUCAGAAAAGCAAAUAUCUACCAUAAAAAAACACUGGUCCAAUAUUCACUUCUAUAAGAAAUGCAGGGGCAAAUAAAUUAUGGAUUUUAUUAUCGCUAAUAGAGUCACUUAACCAUUACUCCUUACUACAUUCUGCUUUUCUAACAAAAUUUCGACUGAAUAUUCUCCCUCAGAGCCUCCAAAAGGAACCAACUGAUGACAACUGAUUUUGGACUUCUGGCCU